UUGUCCUCCAGCACCUCCCGAAUCCGCUGCCGGAUCUCGGAGGCGGUAAGCGCACCCGUCGCAAGGACGGUACCCCCAGUCGGUGCGCCCGGAGUCAUGUCAGCGAGCGAGCAGACCCGGAGCAUCAGCGGCACCACCCGCCGGGCGUGGUACGCCUCGAUGACUCCGGCUCCGGUCAACCCCCUCCCCUUCAAGUGCUCGAUGGCCUGCAGCAGGC
RNAcentral lists this long non-coding RNA (217 nucleotides) under Setaria viridis. RNAcentral describes it as "long non-coding RNA (SVIR_LNC007617)". Lineage: Eukaryota; Viridiplantae; Streptophyta; Magnoliopsida; Poales; Poaceae. The record is from RNAcentral.